RNAcentral lists this ribosomal RNA (497 nucleotides) under uncultured bacterium. RNAcentral describes it as "partial 16S ribosomal RNA". It matches the Rfam family "Bacterial small subunit ribosomal RNA", at positions 28 to 507 of the family's 1533-position model. The record is from RNAcentral.
GAUGAACGCCGGCGGCGUGCCUAAUACAUGCAAGUCGAGCGAACAGACGAGGAGCUUGCUCCUCUGACGUUAGCGGCGGACGGGUGAGUAACACGUGGAUAACCUACCUAUAAGACUGGGAUAACUUCGGGAAACCGGAGCUAAUACCGUAUAACAUGUUGAACCGCAUGGUUCAACAGUGAAAGACGGUCUUGCUGUCACUUAUAGAUGGAUCCGCGCCGCAUUAGCUAGUUGGUAAGGUAACGGCUUACCAAGGCAACGAUGCGUAGCCGACCUGAGAGGGUGAUCGGCCACACUGGAACUGAGACACGGUCCAGACUCCUACGGGAGGCAGCAGUAGGGAAUCUUCCGCAAUGGGCGAAAGCCUGACGGAGCAACGCCGCGUGAGUGAAGAAGGUCUUCGGAUCGUAAAACUCUGUUAUUAGGGAAGAACAAAUGUGUAAGUAACUAUGCACGUCUUGACGGUACCUAAUCAGAAAGCCACGGCUAACUACGUG